Molecule: ribosomal RNA, 33 nt
Filed under: Fusarium solani
Lineage: Eukaryota; Fungi; Ascomycota; Sordariomycetes; Hypocreales; Nectriaceae
Also listed under: 1 other name
Description: partial 18S ribosomal RNA
Source: RNAcentral
CUUCCGUAGGUGAACCUGCGGAGGGAUCAUUAC